This 26-nucleotide non-coding RNA is filed under the name Homo sapiens (human). Lineage: Eukaryota; Metazoa; Chordata; Mammalia; Primates; Hominidae. The record is from RNAcentral.
GAUUGAAUCAUGGUGGUGGUUACUGC